UACGUAGGGCGCGAGCGUUGUCCGGAUUUAUUGGGCGUAAAGCGCUCGUAGGCGGCUUGUUACGUCGGCUGUGAAAACCCAUGGCUCAACCGUGGGCUUGCAGUCGAUACGGGCAGGCUAGAGUUCGGUAGGGGAGAGUGGAAUUCCUGGUGUAGCGGUGGAAUGCGCAGAUAUCAGGAGGAACACCGAUGGCGAAGGCAGCUCGCUGGGACGGUACUGACGCUGAGGCGCGAAAGCGUGGGGAGCAAACAGG
RNAcentral lists this ribosomal RNA (253 nucleotides) under uncultured bacterium. RNAcentral's name for it is "partial 16S ribosomal RNA". It matches the Rfam family "Bacterial small subunit ribosomal RNA", at positions 524 to 776 of the family's 1533-position model. The record is from RNAcentral.